AUGUCCGUGUGGUCGCUCCGUCGCCAUCCACACGACCGAACCGAGACUGGGACGCGGACUUCAGUGCUGCCUGCCUGCCAGCCAUGAGGCACCGCCUGGCUGCGCGGCAUGGCGAGGCUCACGUGUGCCGCGGGCUUCGGGAACGGGACAAGAGAGAACUCACGGGUGCCGCCGUGCGAAACGGCAGGUCGAUCAAGGGGAAAUGGUCAAUGUACAGAACUCGACUCGUACAUUAUUUUUUGAGCAUGAAAACAAAUUGAGCAUGAGGCUCCUACAUGAUCAGUUUAUUUACUACUCCAUCCAUCAUAAAUUGCAAGUCAUUCCAAAAACUUUAUACAGUUAAAACAUCUCAAGUUUAGCUAAAACUAUAAAAAAAAAUAUAAAAUAUGAAGAUAUAAUUAAAAAAACUUAGCUAAUAUCAUAAAUGUUAUUAUCCUAUCAUAUAAUUGAUGAAGUAGUACACUUGCACAAUAAACACGUGGCAGCAGUUGCUUGCCACUGGCGAGAAGCGGACCCCGAAGUUGGAACUGACCAAUGGCCUUCUACGAACUGAAGUCAGAGUUCCGAUAGCUUGCUUGGUGAUCUGAUUUUGCAGUUUUUCUUUUGACAGAGUCGAGCUCAUUUAAUUUGCACGACCUACAUUACAAAAUACUUACAUCACUGACAGGAACGAUUGCGUUUGUAUUAUUGUAUAUACGUUGCUUAAUCCAAGGGUAACCUGCUAGUAGUAUCCUUGGACAGGUACGUAGACAGGGACAGGCAGGACGUACAUUAUCCUCCUCCGUUUCGCAACGUUCAGAGAUGCAGGUGGCGCCC
This 816-nucleotide long non-coding RNA is filed under the name Sorghum bicolor (sorghum). Its description in RNAcentral is "long non-coding RNA (SBIC_LNC001682)". The record is from RNAcentral. Lineage: Eukaryota; Viridiplantae; Streptophyta; Magnoliopsida; Poales; Poaceae.